RNAcentral lists this non-coding RNA (28 nucleotides) under Bombyx mori (domestic silkworm). Lineage: Eukaryota; Metazoa; Arthropoda; Insecta; Lepidoptera; Bombycidae. The record is from RNAcentral.
GCCGUAUAGUGCCAUCGACCGCACCACC